This 397-nucleotide ribosomal RNA is filed under the name uncultured bacterium. RNAcentral describes it as "partial 16S ribosomal RNA". It matches the Rfam family "Bacterial small subunit ribosomal RNA", at positions 523 to 918 of the family's 1533-position model. The record is from RNAcentral.
AUACGUAGGGGGCGAGCGUCGUCCGGAAUGAUUGGGCGUAAAGGGCGCGUAGGCGGCGCGGUAAGUCUGGAGUGAAAGUCCUGCUUUCAAGGUGGGAAUUGCUUUGGAUACUGCCGCGCUUGAGUGCAGGAGAGGUUAUCGGAAUUCCCGGUGUAGCGGUGAAAUGCGUAGAGAUCGGGAGGAACACCAGUGGCGAAGGCGGGUAACUGGACUGCAACUGACGCUGAGGCGCGAAAGUGUGGGGAGCAAACAGGAUUAGAUACCCUGGUAGUCCACACUGUAAACGAUGAAUGCUAGGUGUAAGAGGUAUCGACCCCUUUUGUGCCGGAGUCAACACAAUAAGCAUUCCGCCUGGGGAGUACGGCCGCAAGGUUGAAACUCAAAUGAAUUGACGGGG